CAAAAUUCAAUAGCUGGUAUUAUAACAGAGAGAGAUUAUCUAAGGAAGAUUAUAGUGCAAGGCAGGUCUUCCAAGUCUACCAAAGUUGGGGAUAUCAUGACUGAGGAGAACAAACUUAUCACUGUGACACCUGACACCAAGGUUUUGCGAGCUAUGCAAUUGAUGACUGAUAACCGAAUUAGGCACAUACCCGUCAUCGACGACAAGGGCAUGAAGGGCAUGGUGUCAAUUGGAGACGUGGUUCGGGCUGUGGUGAGCGAGCACCGAGAGGAGCUGGACCGCCUGAAUGCUUAUAUUCAGGGAGGUUAUUGAGUUGCUGCUAUUGACUUUGGUUGCUUGGUGUAUGAUGUUUCGAAACACCAGAAUGCUUCAGCUCUUGUACAUAUGAUGAUGGCCUGGUAUGCGCACUCUCUUAUUAAUAUGGUCGUGCUUCCUGUUGCUUCUAGUACAAUAACCGACGGAUGUAAUAAUAGACGGUUACUUUGCUUUGCAAAAUUACACCUGAAUUUGCAUUAUCAUUGAUGGAGAUGACAAAUCUCCCUCGAGUUAGC
This 551-nucleotide unclassified non-coding RNA is filed under the name Hevea brasiliensis (rubber tree). Lineage: Eukaryota; Viridiplantae; Streptophyta; Magnoliopsida; Malpighiales; Euphorbiaceae. The record is from RNAcentral.